GUAGUCUCGCACAGAUGCAUAUCAAUAAGCGGAGGAAAAGAAACUAACAAGGAUUCCCCUAGUAACGGCGAGUGAAGCGGGAAGAGCUCAAAUUUGAAAUCUUAAAGGGUUUCCCUUUACGAAUUGUAGUUUAAAGAAGUGUUUUCUGUUGAGGUUUUGGUAAAAGUUCUUUGGAAUAGGACAUCAUAGAGGGUGAGAAUCCCGUAUUUGACCUUUACUUUCAACUUUGUGAUACACUUUCAAAGAGUCGGAUUGUUUGGGAAUGCAGUCCAAAAUGGGUGGUAAAUUUCAUCUAAAGCUAAAUAUUGGCGAGAGACCGAUAGCGAACAAGUACCGUGAGGGAAAGAUGAAAAGAACUUUGAAAAGAGAGUUAAACAGUACGUGAAAUUGUCAAAAGGGAAGCGUUUGACACCAGUGUUGUUUUUCUGAAAAUCAAUUAAAGAACUGUUUAUGCUAAGCUGUUUAGACUUUAUCAGCUAUACUGUUUAGUUUUGAGCUUUUCUUUAAUGCACUUUUCAGUUAACAAGUCAACAUCAAUUUCUUUUGCUGUAAAAAAGCUUGAGGAAGGUGGCUUGAGAUUCGUCUUAAGUGUUUAUAGCCUCUUGCCUAUGCAGUCGGAGAGGUUGAGGUCUGCAGCGUAGAUCCUUCGGGGCUAAAUGCAUUUGUGCUAAGUUAUAGCAUUUUAUAGACAACUUGUUGACUAUGACUUGUCUUGUAGCUUACUCGCUUAUGUUAUUUUACCUACGCUUAGGAUGUUGAAGACUCUACAGAGAUA
This 775-nucleotide ribosomal RNA is filed under the name uncultured Neocallimastigales. Its description in RNAcentral is "partial large subunit ribosomal RNA". It matches the Rfam family "Eukaryotic large subunit ribosomal RNA", at positions 24 to 628 of the family's 3401-position model. The record is from RNAcentral. Lineage: Eukaryota; Fungi; Neocallimastigomycota; Neocallimastigomycetes; Neocallimastigales.